UUGAACGCUGGCGGAAUGCUUUACACAUGCAAGUCGAGCGGCAGCGCGGGGCAACCUGGCGGCGAGCGGCGAACGGGUGAGUAAUGCAUCGGAACAUGUCCAUGUCGUGGGGGAUAGCCCGGCGAAAGCCGGAUUAAUACCGCAUACGCCCGAGAGGGGAAAGCAGGGGACCGCAAGGCCUUGCGCGAUUGGGUUGGCCGAUGUCCGAUUAGCUUGUUGGUGAGGUAAAGGCUUACCAAGGCGAUGAUCGGUAGCUGGUCUGAGAGGAUGAUCAGCCACACUGGGACUGAGACACGGCCCAGACUCCUACGGGAGGCAGCAGUGGGGAAUUUUGGACAAUGGGGGCAACCCUGAUCCAGCCAUUCCGCGUGAGUGAAGAAGGCCUUCGGGUUGUAAAGCUCUUUUGUCCGGAGCGAAACGGUACGGGUGAAUAUCCCGUGCUACUGACGGUACCGGAAGAAUAAGCACCGGCUAACUACGU
Molecule: ribosomal RNA, 481 nt
Filed under: uncultured bacterium
Lineage: Bacteria
Description: bacterial SSU rRNA
Rfam family: Bacterial small subunit ribosomal RNA
Source: RNAcentral